UAAAUUCAGCCUCCACCCUUUCAUCCGUCUCCUUCUCCUCUCCGAUCCUGAAGAAAGGUAUUGCUGAGAAGCAAAGCACAAGUUGGAAGAUUCAAAAUGAGCUGCAGACAAGUUGUGGCAUUGGAUGGUCUACUCUGGGAAUGCCAAUAUCUGAAACUGUUGCCGUGAAGUGAAUGGAAAUGAGUCAUGUGACUGAAACAAAGAACUCUGACCUCAUGCUGUGAUGGGAUCCUGGAGUCUCAAGUCUAGUUUCGCUGUUAAUUUAGGACCCAGUAGAUGCAGAAAAAGGAUUUGGUGUUGCAAGAUGGCUGACUGAAGCGCAGUGGAUACUGGCAUAAAGGAUUGGAACUAAUGUAGAGCUGUCCCAGUCAGGUGGCCAGUGAAUUUACAACUGCCAGUGUAGCUUAGAAUGAGAAAUGAUGACGCUAUCAAGAGAUGCAGUGGGGGACAUCAAUGAUUUAAGACUACAUUUCAUCUUGGGUGGUUACUGAUUUCUAUCAAUAAAAUUUGUGCACUUAUCCUU
Long non-coding RNA from Oncorhynchus kisutch (coho salmon), 523 nucleotides. RefSeq lists it as uncharacterized. Lineage: Eukaryota; Metazoa; Chordata; Actinopteri; Salmoniformes; Salmonidae. The record is from RefSeq and is a predicted model, not a curated record. The transcript is spliced from 10 exons.